This 3637-nucleotide long non-coding RNA is filed under the name Nicotiana tabacum (common tobacco). RNAcentral describes it as "long non-coding RNA (NTAB_LNC018791)". The record is from RNAcentral. Lineage: Eukaryota; Viridiplantae; Streptophyta; Magnoliopsida; Solanales; Solanaceae.
AAUACCUCAUAAAGUCUCAAUUUAUCUCACCACCGCCGCUGCAACCCAACCCAACUCAUCUCUAUCUCACCAAUUUUAGGCAACGCAAUAUUUUUUUUACUCGCUCUUUAUCUUAUUGCUUUUAUUAGAUUUAUACAUAUUUUUAUAUCUUUCUUUCCUUGAUCUGGUAUUUAAGUGUAUGCAUACAUGAUUUCAAUUAAUUUUAUUCUAAUUUGAUUCUUUUCCCUCACAGACUCACAGUUACUAAGGUAAUUUUUGUAUAUCUAGGGUUGGGGUUCCCCUUCAUCAUAUUUUGAGAAAAUCAAAUGGUGCUUCACCCGCUAGCGCUCAACAAGCUCCUCUUCUUUGGUGACAGCGCUAAGUUUUGUUUUUUUCCCUCAGUUCUAAGUCAUCAUUUUAUAUGUAAUAACAAAUAUGUGUGCAAUGGUGCUAGAGACCUUUUAUCGGUCUAAUGGAUAGUUGGUCUAUAAAAUCCCAUGACUGCGUGAUGAUUUCAUAGUUAGAAUUUUUAGUAUCGUUAUUGUGCUUGAAAUGUGAUCUAUUUGCUGGUAUAUCUUGCACUCUAAUGUGACUUGGUGUGAAAAUUUUUAAUAGACACUUUGUUAGUCAGAUUCUUUUGUAGCCAAAUAUUUUGCUUUCAGUCUGUUAUUUUUUCCAAUUCAGUCAAUGACCAAUUCCAUGUGCUAUAAUUCGUGCUUUUUUUUUCUAGUUAACCUAAAAUGUUGGGUACAAUUUGUUUGAUUUUCACUUUGGUGGUUCCGCAGAAUUCCUUUUCUUUUUCUUGUUGGAUUCUCAAAAUUUAUAAACCCUUCCUAAGUUGAUGUUGAAGGGUGAGAGUUUGUUAUGAGUAUGCAUUAAGCUUGUGAAUUUUCAAAAAAGUUCAACUUUCCAUGGGCUAACACUUGAACUCAAUUUUGAUUUUGCCGUGAAAUCGACUUGGUCUUCCACAAGUUGUAAAAAAAGACCAGUAUCUAACUUCAAGAGAAUUUUCUUUUAAUGAAACUAAUACAAUUACAAAUGAGAGAUGUUUAUGUGGCAUAAGGGUAUAUGGUAGGUGGUUAAAAUCUAAUCUCAUAUUCUGCUUUAUAGGUAGAUAUGUGAGUUUACACAUCAAAGAAUAUAUAGAGAUAAAUAUAUCAGUUGUUCACACAUUAAAGAAUAUUAAAGCCCGAUGAUACAAGUGAUUGCAAAGCCUUCUUGAAUUUGUAUAUUUUUGCACUAAAUAUUUUUUACUGAAUUAAUAUGUAUCUCCUGUGAGAUAUUUUCUCGUACUUAUCAAAAGAGUUUCUUCUAUGGAAAAAUAUUGUACUCGUUUAGUAGAACUUUAUUAGUGUACUCUCCAAGCCACCUUAACUAGGAGGAGACACUGCACAAGGUUGUGAACUAUGACAAUCCGUUUAAAGUUGCAUGUUUGGUUUAAUUUUGCAGAGUUUUUUAUGUCGCUUGAAGAAACUACAAGAAUAUUAAGAUCUCGAGAGAUGACAACGGAUUAAGAGUAUUUUAUUUCUCUAGAAUUUGUCAUUAACCUUUGCAUCAGAGAGUUAAAUUUGAGACAACUUGAUUAAAGAGUCCUCUCGAGUUGUCUUUUUUAUUUCAUCAAGUUCAACAUAAGUAGACACUUUCAUUCAUUAAGGUCUCUACUUAUUUCAAGAGUUCAUCUUUCUCAAAUAAUUUCCUUUACAAAUCCUCCACUAGCUCACUCAAACUCUUAAAACUUUAGGGCUACCUUGCUCAUCUAGAUUAAUUACCAAUUUCUUGCUGUCAAAAUACUACAAUAGUGUGUCUUUAACUUUCUAGAAUUUAGAGUUUGUACUUUUAAAUCAUUUGACUUUGAAAAUUUUGUAAACACUGGAGUUGAAAAUUAUGUGAGGUAAUCCUUCUCUGUGAUAUACUUGUAUCCCCACUCAUAGCCAACCAUCCCAUUGCAUGUGUCUUUCAAUCAAAGAAGCUUCUUCAAUAGAAUGACUUGUGGCUAGUGGCAUAAUACACUGAUAUAAUCAAUAGAAAGAUAUUUCAUUAUAGUGCCAUUGCUUUUCCUUAGGUGUUUAAAGAAGUGUAGAUUAGUUUACUUAUUCUGAAACUAAGUACAUGUCAGCUUCAAAUGUUCACUAGAUCAGAGGGUGUAACGUGUUCAUACAAUACGGUUACAAUCUACAAACUAUGGUAAUAAUAACCUCAAGGUAGUUUUUGAAGCAAAUUGGAAUCAAUUUGAAGUGGCUAAUUUCUGGUUGGCAACUAUAAUUAAUCAUAGCACUUUAUUUGAUACCACCAUUGAAGGCAAAGAUAUAGGAAUACAUAAUGAUCAGAUCUUUAUGAAGUAAUUUUUGUAAUUUUCCUUCUUGCAGCUUGAUAAGAGCGCUUCGGUUGGAGAACAAAAUAUGGAGAACCGAUUAAUUUGCAUAGAAAUAUUUUGAUGGUUUAAGAAAGCGGUAUCAAAGAGCCUUUCCUCAAAUCCAAGAGCAGAGUCAACACCUCCCAAAUCGUUAUUGUUGGAGCCAAUGAUUACCCCAUUAAAAGUCUCGACUACGAGUAUGAAUACUUUUUUUUUUCUGUUUCUGUGCUAUUUGGUUGGCUAGUUGCUUGGUUGAACCAAUAACUAUUGUCCUUGGAUGUGGGAUGUAGUAUCUUGCCCAUGACUUUCAAUAUCCACCUCUAGCCUAUUUUUCUUUAGCUAGUGUGUGUAUAAAAUUGCAUGUUCCAAUUUAGCUGAAAGACAAUACUUGAACUCCCAAGUGUGUUGUUUGGUUACUAUCAUGUGAUUGAUGUAUCAUCCCUGUUGUUACAUUAAAAGAGGUAUCAAACUUAGUGUACCAAGUUUAUGUUGCAUUCUUAAAGUCAUAUAGGAACUUUAUGAAGUUUGUAAGCAUAAUUAAGAUAAAUUGAUUACACAAAAUCUUGAGGCUUCGCAUUUUUCUAUUAAGUGCUAUAGAAGGUGACUGCUAGAACAUGAAGCAUUUAUUUGACUAGACCCCAAAAAGUACUUAUCUGGAUAAAUAAAUAAAGAAAAAUAUUGAUAUAUAUUUUGUGCAGGUGCUCAACUACAUCAUGAAUUUACAUUGACAGUCUCACUGUUUCAUAGCCAUAUGUAUAUACUUGUAACCAUACGAGUUCUCUUAUAAAGAAUGGACAUUAUAGUAUCUCAAAGAUUUAGGAUUGAUUAAAGACAAAAGGGAAUGCCCUUUGUUGAGUAUAACAAAAUGUCUUCAUGUUUGGAUUGACAUUUGGCCUUCGUAUCUAUAAUCUUUUCGAGUUUAGUUGUGUUGCGAUGGUUAGUAGGAAAGGAAUAACAUUUCUUGUACACUUGAUUUUGAUUGGCUUUAGUAGUAGCAGUUUCUUGAUUAUUAAUCAACAUCAAAUGUGGUUGUUUAUUUGAUAUUCAUUUUAUUUUAUCAUUCCAGGUCAUACAUUGUGAUGUUCAAAAACUUGGCAUGUGACUGUCACUAUGAUCAAGAGUUGGAGCAUCUUUCUUAAGUCAUCUGUUGUCUAAUUUGUAGCUACUUGAUAAAAUAAUUUGUCAAACGCAAAGCGAUAGUAGCAAUUAGAUUCAAAUAGUUUAGCAUUCUUUUAUGUAGUUGACAGAUUAAAUUAUGAAUUAGAAGUUUUGUUUGUUGCAGAUUUAAUGAGUAUUAUGCUUUUU